Long non-coding RNA from Vicia villosa (hairy vetch), 1119 nucleotides. RefSeq lists it as uncharacterized. The record is from RefSeq and is a predicted model, not a curated record. Lineage: Eukaryota; Viridiplantae; Streptophyta; Magnoliopsida; Fabales; Fabaceae. The transcript has 3 exons.
GUCAAUAUCUUUUAAUGCCUUUUAGAUCUAAAUUUAGCCUUGCAUAAAUCUAUCGAUAUGAUAUUAUCUUACCAUUGCUCAUGAUAUCAUAUGUUUCUGUUCUUGAUUAAGCUGGGCAGUCAACUUAGAAUAUGUUUUGAAACUAGUUGUAUUGUUACAUAAAUCAUCUGCAACCCGAUCGCAUGGCUCUCAAGACUUAAGCUUGAGGUGUUCUCUUCAUUUGGUAUUGUCCAGAAAAUUGCUAUGUUUGAAAAGAAUGGUCAAACUUAGGCGCACUGAUUCAGUACCCUGAUGUUACAACAACAACAGCUGGUAGAGAAGCUUUAGAAGGGCAUUGCAUUUAUGAUGGUGAUCAUUGUAAGCUUCAUCUAUCAUACUCUAGUCAUACUGAUAUCAAUGUAAAGGUAUAAAAAUGUGUUGAGUUAAUGUUAAUGAAGGAAAUUAAGAGAUAUCCUUAGACGCAAUGUGGACACUUUCUUGAUCGGAAAUGUGUUGAGUUAAUGUUAAUGAAGGAAAUUAAGAGUAUAGACUAUAUAGUGCCACAUCCUAAUUUGCUUGCAGCACAAGGUCCUCCGACAGUAUGGCAUGAUCCCCAGGCUGCCCCCAUGCACCCUACCAGUUCCCCUGGUUUUCAAACUGAAGUUCCUGGAGGACAAGGACCAUCAUAGGAUCUAACUCAGGAUCAAUUAGACCUUGUUAUGUUUCCCUUCCCAAAGCUUAUCCUGUUCAAACUGGUGCUUAUCCUAUUAUGCCCACCAACACGUCCACAGCGAUGCCUUCCGCUUCUUCAUCUCAUGCUCAAAGCAGCCAUCUCGGGGCUCCACGCAAUGCAAAUUUACAGUCUUGUGGUGGUCCUGGUUCCUUGCCUUUCAUUCAAAUCAACCUUGGUGGUCAAGGAAUGGUUCGACCUGGGGCUCUGCCAAACAUGAGACCUGGUGGUGCUUCACCUUUAGGUCAGCGUAAUUAUGGUUAGAAAGUUUUACUUUUACUUUUAACCUAAUGAAAGGAGAACUUUAAUGAUAUGGACUAAGAGUGAUAAUAUUAGUAAGUUGUUGUUGGAAAGUACAUAAUCAUGACAUCAUCGAUAAUAUUAGUCAAUUUAAUAAUGAAAUUUAAUUU